GCCGCUUUAGCUCAGCUGGUAGAGCGGCUGAUUCGUAAUCAGCAGGUAGUCAGUUCAAGUCUGACAAGCGGCUCCA
Molecule: transfer RNA, 76 nt
Filed under: Desulfovibrio sp.
Lineage: Bacteria; Pseudomonadati; Thermodesulfobacteriota; Desulfovibrionia; Desulfovibrionales; Desulfovibrionaceae
Description: tRNA-Thr
Rfam family: tRNA
About the family: Transfer RNA (tRNA) molecules are approximately 80 nucleotides in length. Their secondary structure includes four short double-helical elements and three loops (D, anti-codon, and T loops).
Source: RNAcentral